The sequence is a regulatory RNA element, 148 nucleotides long. It matches the Rfam family "SAM riboswitch aptamer (S box leader)". From Rfam's summary of the family: The SAM riboswitch is found upstream of a number of genes which code for proteins involved in methionine or cysteine biosynthesis in Gram-positive bacteria. The SAM riboswitch acts at the level of transcription termination control. The record is from Rfam.
UUCUUAUCAAGAGAGGCGGAGGGACUGGCCCUGUGAAGCCCAGCAACCAAUAUUAUUAAUUUGCUUUUAAUAAGUGUAUUUAGGCUUUUAUUAGUAAUAUUAAAAUAUAGUGGUGCUAAUUCCUGCAGAUUUAACUGAGAGAUAAGUG